UACGUAGGGUGCAAGCGUUAAUCGGAAUUACUGGGCGUAAAGCGUGCGCAGGCGGCUUUGCAAGACAGAUGUGAAAUCCCCGGGCUCAACCCUGGGAACUGCAUUUGUGACUGCAUGGCUGGAGUGCGGCAGAGGGGAUGGAAUUCCGCGUGUAGCAGUGAAAUGCGUAGAUAUGCGGAGGAACACCGAUGGCGAAGGCAACUCCCUCGGCCUGCACCUGACGCUCAUGCACGAAAGCGUGGG
RNAcentral lists this ribosomal RNA (243 nucleotides) under uncultured bacterium. RNAcentral describes it as "partial 16S ribosomal RNA". It matches the Rfam family "Bacterial small subunit ribosomal RNA", at positions 524 to 765 of the family's 1533-position model. The record is from RNAcentral.